AAUUAUUGCACACAUAUGAACUACUUAAAAUUGUACUUCGAUCUGUUGCGUCCUUAAAAUGUUCUGACCGUCCUAAGAUUUAAUGUACGGAAAUGUUUCGGGAAAUUAAAUUCAAAUCCGAAUUGAAUGUUUAUGACACACAAAAAGAGAAACCAGAAUCUCUAGAUGACCAAACGUAUGUGCACGUUGGGGCGAUUUAGAGCUUUUCAGAAGGAGUGAGA
Molecule: long non-coding RNA, 221 nt
Filed under: Mytilus galloprovincialis (Mediterranean mussel)
Lineage: Eukaryota; Metazoa; Mollusca; Bivalvia; Mytilida; Mytilidae
Source: RNAcentral